RNAcentral lists this ribosomal RNA (253 nucleotides) under uncultured bacterium. RNAcentral describes it as "partial 16S ribosomal RNA". It matches the Rfam family "Bacterial small subunit ribosomal RNA", at positions 524 to 776 of the family's 1533-position model. The record is from RNAcentral.
UACAGAGGUCUCGAGCGUUGUUCGGAUUCAUUGGGCGUAAAGGGUGCGUAGGUGGCGAGGUUAGUCAGGUGUGAAAUCUCGGGGCUCAACCCCGAAACUGCACUUGAUACUGCCUUGCUCGAGUACUGGAGAGGAGAUUGGAAUUUACGGUGUAGCAGUGAAAUGCGUAGAUAUCGUAAGGAAGACCAGUGGCGAAGGCGAAUCUCUGGACAGUUACUGACACUGAGGCACGAAGGCCAGGGGAGCAAACGGG